This 229-nucleotide ribosomal RNA is filed under the name uncultured bacterium. Its description in RNAcentral is "partial 16S ribosomal RNA". It matches the Rfam family "Bacterial small subunit ribosomal RNA", at positions 568 to 796 of the family's 1533-position model. The record is from RNAcentral.
UACGUAGGCGGAAAAUUAAGUCAGUGGUGAAAUCCUGCAGCUUAACUGUAGAACUGUCAUUGAUACUGGUUUUCUUGAAUACAGUUGAGGUAGGCGGAAUGUGUAAUGUAGCGGUGAAAUGCUUAGAUAUUACACAGAACACCGAUUGCGAAGGCAGCUUACUAAACUAUUAUUGACGCUGAGGUACGAAAGCGUGGGGAGCGAACAGGAUUAGAUACCCUGGUAGUCC